Molecule: ribosomal RNA, 229 nt
Filed under: uncultured bacterium
Lineage: Bacteria
Description: partial 16S ribosomal RNA
Rfam family: Bacterial small subunit ribosomal RNA
Source: RNAcentral
UGAGCAACCUGCCCCUGGCUCUGGGAUAACUCCGGGAAACCGGAGCUAAUACCGGAUACGAGACCGAUUGGCAUCUCUACGGUCUGGAAAGUUUUUCGGCCAGGGAUGGGCUCGCGGCCUAUCAGCUUGUUGGUGGGGUAACGCCCACCAAGGCGACGACGGGUAGCCGGCCUGAGAGGGCGACCGGCCACACUGGGACUGAGACACGGCCCAGACUCCUACGGGAGCA